CUACGGAGGGUGCAAGCGUUGUCCGGAUUUAUUGGGUUUAAAGGGUGCGUAGGCGGUACGUUAAGUCAGUGGUGAAAUCCCUCAGCUCAACUGAGGAACUGCCAUUGAUACUGGCGUACUUGAGUACAGACGAGGUGGGCGGAAUUUAUGGUGUAGCGGUGAAAUGCAUAGAUACCAUAAAGAACACCGAUAGCGAAGGCAGCUUACUAGACUGUAACUGACGCUCAGGCACGAAAGCGUGGGGAGCGAACAGGAUUAGAAACCCUAGUAGUCC
Molecule: ribosomal RNA, 274 nt
Filed under: uncultured bacterium
Lineage: Bacteria
Description: partial 16S ribosomal RNA
Rfam family: Bacterial small subunit ribosomal RNA
Source: RNAcentral